Molecule: ribosomal RNA, 465 nt
Filed under: uncultured bacterium
Lineage: Bacteria
Description: partial 16S ribosomal RNA
Rfam family: Bacterial small subunit ribosomal RNA
Source: RNAcentral
GACGAACGCUGGCGGCGUGCUUAACACAUGCAAGUCGAACGGAAAGGCCCUGCUUGCCGGGUACUCGAGUGGCGAACGGGUGAGUAACACGUGGGUGAUCUGCCCUGCACUUCGGGAUAAGCCUGGUAAACUGGGUCUAAUACCGGAUAGGAGCCAUUUUUAGUGUGAUGGUUGGAAAGUUUUUUCGGUGUAGGAUGAGCUCGCGGCCUAUCAGCUUGUUGGUGGGGUAAUGGCCUACCAAGGCGGCGACGGGUAGCCGGCCCGGGAGGGUGGACGGCCACAUUGGGACUGGGAUACGGCCCAGACUCCUACGGGAGGCAGCAGUGGGGAAUAUUGCACAAUGGGAGCAAGCCUGAUGCAGCGACGCCGCGUGGGGGAUGACGGCCUUCGGGUUGGAAACUCCUUUCGCUAGGGACGAAGCUUUUUGUGACGGUACCUAGAGAAGAAGCACCGGCUAACUACGUG